AUGGCAAGCUUCAACCACGCCAACGACACCGCCCGGGACACCGGCUCUCCCCCGGCUGCGGCUGCUACGCCUACGCUCAGAGUUGGACCCCUUCCGCUAGACGCCGGCGAGUUCCGGCGUCAGGGACGUCAAGUUGUGGACUUCAUCGUGGACCACUACGACCGCAUUAACAAGUACCCCGUCCGCCCGGCCGUUGCUCCCGGGUUCCUAGCCCGGCAGCUUCCCGACACCGCGCCGUCGUGGCUGGAGCCCAACACGCUCGCCUCAGCGCUGCGCGAUGUCCAGGACCUCAACCUUCCCGGCGUCACCCACUGGCAGAGCCCCCGUCAUUUCGCGCACUUCGCGGCGAUGGCCAGCAACGUGGGCGCGCUCAGCGAGGCCCUCGCCGCGGGCCUCAACAUCAACCCUUUCACCUGGGUCGCCUCGCCGGCGGCCACCGAGCUUGAGACCGUUGUUACAGAUUGGCUGGGUAAGGCGCUACACCUCCCGGAGGAGCUGCUCUUCUGUGGUGGCGGAGGCGGCACGCUGCUGGGGACGUCGUGCGAUGGCCUUUUGAUUAAGAUAGGAGGACGAGAGAAGGCAGGAAGGCUAGCAGCAAGCACGGAGAAGAUCGGGCAUCAACGUAGUCGAUCUAGGAGCCACCAAGUCUUGGAACUCCAGUUGCCCAGCGGCGCGUCGCCUUGA
This 684-nucleotide ribosomal RNA is filed under the name Triticum aestivum (bread wheat). Its description in RNAcentral is "partial small subunit ribosomal RNA". The record is from RNAcentral. Lineage: Eukaryota; Viridiplantae; Streptophyta; Magnoliopsida; Poales; Poaceae.